UGGGGAAUAAUGCACAAUGGAGGGAACUCUGAUGCAGCGACGCCGCGUGAGUGAUGAAGGAAUUCGUUUCGUAAAACUCUGUUCUAUGGGAAGAAAAGGACUGUACCAUAGGAGAAAGCUCCGGCUAAAUACGUGCCAGCAGCCGCGGUAAUACGUAUGGAGCGAGCGUUGUCCGGAAUUAUUGGGCGUAAAGGGUGCGCAGGCGGCUUUACAAGUUGGAUGUGAAAUAUUGUGGCUCAACCACAAACGUGCAUCCAAAACUGCAAAGCUUGAGUUAAGGAGAGGUAAGUGGAAUUCCUGGUGUAGCGGUGGAAUGCGUAGAUAUCAGGAGGAAUACCGGUGGCGAAGGCGACUUACUGGACUUAAACUGACGCUCAGGCACGAAAGCGUGGGGAGCAAACAGG
Molecule: ribosomal RNA, 404 nt
Filed under: Fusobacteriota bacterium
Lineage: Bacteria; Fusobacteriati; Fusobacteriota
Description: Fusobacteria bacterium partial 16S ribosomal RNA
Rfam family: Bacterial small subunit ribosomal RNA
Source: RNAcentral